RNAcentral lists this ribosomal RNA (178 nucleotides) under uncultured bacterium. RNAcentral's name for it is "partial 16S ribosomal RNA". It matches the Rfam family "Bacterial small subunit ribosomal RNA", at positions 1327 to 1500 of the family's 1533-position model. The record is from RNAcentral.
UGGAAUCGCUAGUAAUCGCGGAUCAGCACGCCGCGGUGAAUACGUUCCCGGGCCUUGUACACACCGCCCGUCACACCAUGGAAGUCUGCAAUGCCCGAAGCCGGUGGCCUAACCACUUAUGUGGAAGGAGCCGUCUAAGGCAGGGCAGAUGACUGGGGUGAAGUCGUAACAAGGUAUC